This 440-nucleotide ribosomal RNA is filed under the name uncultured bacterium. RNAcentral describes it as "partial 16S ribosomal RNA". It matches the Rfam family "Bacterial small subunit ribosomal RNA", at positions 338 to 795 of the family's 1533-position model. The record is from RNAcentral.
CCUACGGGAGGCAGCAGUGGGGGAUAUUGCACAAUGGGGGGAACCCUGAUGCAGCGACGCCGCGUGGGUGAAGAAGCGCCUCGGCGCGUAAAGCCCUGUCUGCAGGGAAGAAAAUGACGGUACCUGAAGAAGAAGCCCCGGCUCACUACGUGCCAGCAGCCGCGGCAAUACGUCGGGGGCAAGAGUUAUCCGGAUUUACUGGGUGUAAAGGGGGCGCAGACGGCGAUGCAAGCCAGGAGUGAAAGCCCGGGGGCCAACCCCGGGACUGCUCUUGGAACUGCGUGGCUGGAGUGCAGGAGGGGCAGGCGGAAUUCCUGGUGUAGCGGUGAAAUGCGUAGAUAUCAGGAGGAACACCGGUGGCGAAGGCGGCCUGCUGGACUGCAACUGACGUUGAGGCCCGAAAGCGUGGGGAGCAAACAGGAUUAGAUACCCGGGUAGUC